This 468-nucleotide ribosomal RNA is filed under the name uncultured bacterium. RNAcentral's name for it is "bacterial SSU rRNA". It matches the Rfam family "Bacterial small subunit ribosomal RNA", at positions 355 to 825 of the family's 1533-position model. The record is from RNAcentral.
UGGGGAAUAUUGGACAAUGGGCGAAAGCCUGAUCCAGCAAUGCCGCGUGAGUGAUGAAGGCCUUCGGGUUGUAAAGCUCUGUCGGGAGGGACGAAUAGGGUGGUGUAAUGGCCACUUCUGACGGUACCUCCAAAGGAAGCACCGGCUAACUCUGUGCCAGCAGCCGCGGUAAUACAGAGGGUGCAAGCGUUGUUCGGAAUUACUGGGCGUAAAGCGCGUGUAGGCGGCGUCGUGAGUCAUAUGUGAAAGCCCUCGGCUCAACCGAGGAAGUGCAUGUGAUACUGCGAUGCUUGAGUGUUGGAGGGGGUGGCGGAAUUCCCGGUGUAGAGGUGAAAUUCGUAGAUAUCGGGAGGAACACCUGUGGCGAAGGCGGCCACCUGGACAACAACUGACGCUGAGACGCGAAAGCGUGGGUAGCAAACAGGAUUAGAUACCCAAGUAGUCCCUGAGCGGGCUGGCAAGGCGCAU